GUGAACGUUACAAACUGUUGCCUCGGCGGGGUCACGCCCCGGGUGCGUCGCAGCCCCGGAACCAGGCGCCCGCCGGAGGAACCAACCAAACUCUUUCUGUAGUCCCCUCGCGGACGUAUUUCUUACAGCUCUGAGCAAAAAUUCAAAAUGAAUCAAAACUUUCAACAACGGAUCUCUUGGUUCUGGCAUCGAUGAAGAACGCAGCGAAAUGCGAUAAGUAAUGUGAAUUGCAGAAUUCAGUGAAUCAUCGAAUCUUUGAACGCACAUUGCGCCCGCCAGUAUUCUGGCGGGCAUGCCUGUCCGAGCGUCAUUUCAACCCUCGAACCCCUCCGGGGGAUCGGCGUUGGGGAUCGGGACCCCUCACACGGGUGCCGGCCCCGAAAUACAGUGGCGGUCUCGCCGCAGCCUCUCCUGCGCAGUAGUUUGCACAACUCGCACCGGGAGCGCGGCGCGUCCACGUCCGUAAAACACCCAACUUUCUGAAAUGUUGACCUCGGAUCAGGUAGGAAUACCCGCUGAACUUAAGCAUAUCAAUAAGCGGAGG
This 544-nucleotide ribosomal RNA is filed under the name Trichoderma asperellum. RNAcentral describes it as "eukaryotic LSU rRNA". The stretch from base 157 to 310 matches the Rfam family "5.8S ribosomal RNA". Lineage: Eukaryota; Fungi; Ascomycota; Sordariomycetes; Hypocreales; Hypocreaceae. The record is from RNAcentral.